UGUAAACGAUGUCGAUUUGGAGUUUGUCUAGAAUGGGCUCCGAAGCUAACGCGAUAAAUCGACCGCCUGGGGAGUACGGCCGCAAGGUUAAAACUCAAAUGAAUUGACGGGGGCCCGCACAAGCGGUGGAGCAUGUGGUUUAAUUCGAUGCAACGCGAAGAACCUUACCUGGUCUUGACAUCCAUAGAAUUCUGCAGAGAUGUGGGAGUGCCUUCGGGAACUAUGAGACAGGUGCUGCAUGGCUGUCGUCAGCUCGUGUUGUGAAAUGUUGGGUUAAGUCCCGCAACGAGCGCAACCCUUAUUCUUUGUUGCCAGCGAUUUGGUCGGGAACUCAAAGGAGACUGCCGUUGAUAAAGCGGAGGAAGGUGGGGACGACGUCAAGUCAUCAUGGCCCUUACGACCAGGGCUACACACGUGCUACAAUGGCGUAUACAAAGGGAAGCGAAGGUGCGAGCUGGAGCGGAUCUCAUAAAGUACGUCUAAGUUCGGAUUGGAGUCUGCAACUCGACUCCAUGAAGUCGGAAUCGCUAGUAAUCGUAGAUCAGAAUGCUACGGUGAAUACGUUCCCGGGCCUUGUACACACCGCCCGUCACACCAUGGGAGUGGGUUGCACCAGAAGUAGAUAGCUUAACCGCGAGGGGGGCGUUUACCACGGUGUGAUUCAUGGCUGGGGUGAAGUCGUAACAAGGUAACCAAGGGCGAAUUCCAG
Molecule: ribosomal RNA, 709 nt
Filed under: uncultured Enterobacteriaceae bacterium
Lineage: Bacteria; Pseudomonadati; Pseudomonadota; Gammaproteobacteria; Enterobacterales; Enterobacteriaceae
Description: bacterial SSU rRNA
Rfam family: Bacterial small subunit ribosomal RNA
Source: RNAcentral